Molecule: transfer RNA, 77 nt
Filed under: Anaerococcus nagyae
Lineage: Bacteria; Bacillati; Bacillota; Tissierellia; Tissierellales; Peptoniphilaceae
Also listed under: 1 other name
Description: tRNA-Met
Rfam family: tRNA
About the family: Transfer RNA (tRNA) molecules are approximately 80 nucleotides in length. Their secondary structure includes four short double-helical elements and three loops (D, anti-codon, and T loops).
Source: RNAcentral
CGCGGGAUAGAGCAGUUUGGUAGCUCGUCGGGCUCAUAACCCGGAGGUCGUUGGUUCAAAUCCAGCUCCCGCAACCA